UCGUAUUUGGAUGGCUUGAGUGAAAUGAAUGAAACUAUAUUUUUUUUAAUUGCCAUGCAAAAAUUAUAAAUACUACCACUAAUUGUUUUAAAUAAUUUUGUUCCUACAAUAUAUUUUGUUGGAAUUAGUGUCGAUAGCAAGUAUCAAGAAACAGCUUUUUAAUUCAACGUUGAAGAAAUUCAUAACCUGUGGCACUUUUGACAGCCGCCAUGUUUUCUCCAUAAAAACAUUGAUUUUCUUUGCUCAUUUUCGUGUCAACGUAGUUUUUUUGGAAAAUAAGAAGAAAGGAAGUUUAACUUACUUAGAGAAAUACGACUGAGACAUAAACACAAGCAGCAGCCGAUGUGCUUGAGUAGCAGAAGGAGCAACUGCGUUGUGAGAGGGCCACGGCUUCAGCCCUCACAAUGAUAGCUGAAGCAAUGAACAGACAGGCUGCAGUCAAUGAGAGGCUUCUUGAGGAGGUGUUCCUCAUAUGGAAAUGAUUUUAGCGGCGACGCAGUUGCGCGACCAGUGAAGCUCUGGCUCCGCGACCGGCGUGGAGCGCGCGGUCAGCGCGGCGCUGCUGCGGCUGCUGCGCGGGAGG
Non-coding RNA from Plutella xylostella (diamondback moth), 583 nucleotides. Lineage: Eukaryota; Metazoa; Arthropoda; Insecta; Lepidoptera; Plutellidae. The record is from RefSeq and is a predicted model, not a curated record.